AGAUGAUCUUGGAGAUGGUAAUUUGCCACAACCUUGAAGGAAACUUCAUGACUGAAGAGAUUUGUAUCUUUCUUGGAAAAAGGCAGGGCAGGCAUCGGAUACAUUGGUCAAGAGGAUGCUAGCUGUUGUAACAGGGAGAUCCUGAAAUCACAGCCGCUUAAUUCAAUUCCUCAGGUGUGUCCCCUCGCAGAAGAAGGAGGCCAGGUGUUUCCCUGUCAGAACUCUGAGCCUCCUCUCCAAACCAGGGGAGCAGUUCUGCCCCCUUUCCCUCUGCUCCCACCCGUAACCCACCCUGAAGCAGCCCGAAGGACGGGGAGGGGAGGAAGACGCAGGGCUGCGGGGAGGAGCGACACCUGCCGCUCUCCAGGGGUCAGCCUGGCCCUCCCUGGGCUCCGUGGGGGCAGAAGUUCGUCUUGGCUCAGAAGCAGAUGCGGGGUGGCCGCGGUCCCCGCAGGCUGGAGACGGGCCAGCAGCGCCACCUGCCUUCCCUCGCGGCCACAGACACAGGUGCACCUGCUAGGCUCGCAACUGCCCCGGUGUCUGAGGAGCCAGGUCCCCACCUUGUUCCUCUUCACUGGAGACACACAAAAGCCUCCCAUCUGCACAGUGAAAAGAACAGCCAGGUCCUGUUUCCAGUCAAGCCAGAGGAAGCAUCUCUGGGGCAACCCAGGGGAGCAUGGGCGAGGGCGCUGAACCCAGGCAGACCCACCUGCAGAGGCCAGGUGUGCGUUCAGCCUGCCUGGGGAAGCAAGGCCAGCUGGCAGCUGCUGUGAAGCUGUCCUCAAAGUGUGGUCCUCGGAUCAGCAGUGCCACCUUGGCCGGGGACUCACCAGGAAUAUGUACUCUUGGGCCUCACACCUCAGACCUGCAGAAUCCGAACCUCUGGGCUUGGGGCUCAGCACUGUGCUUUUAACAAGCCGUCCAGGUGUGCCAGCAGGUGACAAAGGUUUGGGAGCCUGCCGAGAAGCAUGUGACAGGGAGCAGUGCCGAGGAGUGAUGCCGCUGCAGGUGCUUUCGCUCUUCCAGGCACGGCGCAGGCCCUCUGCUGCUUGAUUUGGGGUCAGCAGGGACCAGCAAGCAUGAGGCUGAGCUGCGGGACCCCUGUGGAAGGAAAGAAGCACCCCCCCCCCCCCCGUUGUGCCACUGGGACAGGCCCCAGGCAGCACGGCAGGGAGGGCCUAUCCAGGCCCCAGGACUGGUUCCUGGAUUCCACUGCGGAGCAGUCUCCAGCCAAAACACCAUGACUUUUCCCAUCCUGCAGAAGUUGUGCAAGACAGUUAAGCUGAGUCGGCUCAUCUACCAACUGUGCUUGGAGGUACCUCGGAGGUGCCACAGGUUCUGUCCCAGGCCACCAUAAGAACUCGAGUGUCACAAUAAAGCGAGUCC
Canis lupus familiaris (dog) is the source of this 1386-nucleotide long non-coding RNA. RefSeq lists it as uncharacterized. The transcript has 6 exons. NCBI's taxonomy places the organism in Eukaryota, Metazoa, Chordata, Mammalia, Carnivora, Canidae. The record is from RefSeq and is a predicted model, not a curated record.